GGGUCGUUAGCUCAAUGGUAGAGCAGCGGACUCUUAAUCCGUUGGUUGUAGGUUCAAGUCCUAUACGACCCA
Molecule: transfer RNA, 72 nt
Filed under: Candidatus Atribacteria bacterium
Lineage: Bacteria; Pseudomonadati; Atribacterota; Atribacteria
Also listed under: 3 other names
Description: tRNA-Lys
Rfam family: tRNA
About the family: Transfer RNA (tRNA) molecules are approximately 80 nucleotides in length. Their secondary structure includes four short double-helical elements and three loops (D, anti-codon, and T loops). Further hydrogen bonds mediate the characteristic L-shaped molecular structure. tRNAs have two regions of fundamental functional importance: the anti-codon, which is responsible for specific mRNA codon recognition, and the 3' end, to which the tRNAs corresponding amino acid is attached (by aminoacyl-tRNA synthetases). tRNAs cope with the degeneracy of the genetic code in two manners: having more than one tRNA (with a specific anti-codon) for a particular amino acid; and 'wobble' base-pairing, i.e. permitting non-standard base-pairing at the 3rd anti-codon position.
Source: RNAcentral